UCCUGUUAUGUUAUUUAGAGCCCCGCAUUUUCUGACCGAGAGACACCAUACCAUUGUCUUCGGCCGUGAUGCACUGAGAUCGGUGAGCACAUAUUGUAUGUCUCAGUUAAGUCUGUUUUGCAUUUUAUUGUUGAGAAACUGAAUUUAUCUUAAUUGUUUCAGUAAUAACUGUCGUAUAUGCACUGACUUUACUUGGGUUAAUGCAUAGUUUGUGUAAGAGAGAUGUUUUAUUUUUGCAAAUUUGAGUAUUUUAAUUGCAAAUUUAUGUUGAAUGUGAUUUCAACAAAAUCCUAAGUUGUGAAUUAUAGCUAGAACAGCAUAAUUAAUAUUUGAAUUGCUCUUCUGACCCUGUCUGUUGACAGGUCAGGGGUUUUUUUUUUUUUUUGUAUGCUGAAUUGUUCCUGAGGUGGAUUCCUCCGGUGAAAUAGAUGGCGAGCCUUCCCACCUGGACUUAGAGAGACUGACCCAUAUGGAAAAGAUAUAUAUAACUCUUAUAAAGUUUGUAUCUGUCUUGUGUGAAACUUGUAUGAAAAGCAUACAAGAGUGAAAACAGAUAUAAGAUCCCUUGAAAAAGUUAUAUAAUGAAACUUGUAUGUUUUGGAUACUCACUAGAACAAUAUAUGAAAGUAAUGAGAAAGUGGCCACUUUCAUGAGUAAAUCAUAUAAGUUUUUACUAUUUCUUUUCCAUAUGGGUAGAUUCGCUUCUUUUCCACUUGAUGAUCUGCUGCACCUUGCGGUGUGGUAGGACUGUAUCACUCACACUUUCACACACAGCUGGUUAUACAUGAGACCACUGACUGACAUUCUCUCAUCCCUAUUUUCUUUCACACCCUGGGAAUUUUUUGGACUUUACCCCUUGGACAUUUUUUAUUUGGGACUUUAAAUAAUGAGCUGUUGCGUAGAACAUUCUCCACAUGUGAAAAGAGUGUGAGAUUUUCAUUUGAAUGUACAUUGGAUUUGUGUAAUUUGUUUCUAUAAGAGUUAAGGAGUCAGGUUACUAAGGUGCACCCGAGCAUUGAAACCCAACAUUGAAAACCAAAAGUAACACUUGGCCAAGUCAUUGCUUUAGUAGUUUAUGUAUUUUAUUUUUCUUUUAAUUUUUGUAAGUUUAGUAACCCUUCUACCAUUGUAAAGUGUCUUUAACCUGUGCUUGUCAACCUUAUGGUUUAUUUCACUAAAGUUGUCUGGUUCUUUCUUCAUAUAUUCUUUUCAACAAUUCCCCUUACUGUGUUACACAAGGGUUACAGUUUCACAAUAAGACCGGUAUUAGAGCAUUAAAAGGUUAAGCUUGUACAACGAGUUAAGAACAUACCAUUUAUUUUCUGUGCUCCACUAAAAGAAUCUGUAUCAGACAUUAAACAAUAGAUGACAGCAAAAGUUAACAUAAUCAAAGAGCUUGUCACCUUGGUGAAGCUACAGCGAGGAUGCAAAGUUCAGAAUCAAAGAACAAAUAAUGCAGCUGUGAAACUGAAGCUGUGCAUCCUGGUAAAAAAAAAAACCAACAAAAAAACAGGCUGUACAGAAAUAACAGAAAAAUGAGAAGAUGAAAAUCUGAGAACAGGUGGUGGAACUGUUGUUGUUUUUUGUAAUCACACUCUGGAAUAUGAGAUAAAUUAAUAUUUGGAAUUAAUAUUCACAAAAUAUUGGACUAAACCGAAAUUCUAAUUAGACCAGAAAUCUUUUUUUCUCUUUUCUCGCCUUUUCCCAUCCUCCCACCAUAUUCACUAUUGUGAAUAAUUUUCACAUAUGCUGCUCAAAUGAGAGGUUUUAGAACUUAGUUUGCAUUUGAAUAGCAUUU
Long non-coding RNA from Astatotilapia calliptera (eastern happy), 1798 nucleotides. NCBI's taxonomy places the organism in Eukaryota, Metazoa, Chordata, Actinopteri, Cichliformes, Cichlidae. The record is from Ensembl.